This 444-nucleotide ribosomal RNA is filed under the name uncultured bacterium. RNAcentral's name for it is "SSU rRNA". It matches the Rfam family "Bacterial small subunit ribosomal RNA", at positions 26 to 518 of the family's 1533-position model. The record is from RNAcentral.
AGAGCGAACGCUGGCGGCAGGCCUAACACAUGCAAGUCGAGCGCCCGUAGCAAUACGGGAGCGGCAGACGGGAUAGUAACACGUGGGAACGCGCCCUUCGGUUCGGAAUAACUCAGGGAAACUUGAGCUAAUACCGAAUACGCCCUUACGGGGAAAGAUUUAUUGCCGAAGGAACGGCCCGCGUCCGAUUAGCUAGUUGGUGAGGUAAUGGCUCACCAAGGCUACGAUCGGUAGCUGGUCUGAGAGGAUGACCAGCAUCACUGGGACUGAGACACGGCCCAGACUCCUACGGGAGGCAGCAGUGGGGAAUAUGGACAAUGGCGCAAGCCUGAUCCAGCAAUGCCGCGUGUGUGAAGAGGUUUUCGGAUUGUAAAGCACUUUCGACGGGGACGAUGAUGACGGUACCGUAGAAGAAGCCCCGGCUAACUUCGUGCCAGCAGCCGC